RNAcentral lists this ribosomal RNA (483 nucleotides) under uncultured bacterium. RNAcentral describes it as "partial 16S ribosomal RNA". It matches the Rfam family "Bacterial small subunit ribosomal RNA", at positions 28 to 507 of the family's 1533-position model. The record is from RNAcentral.
GACGAACGCUGGCGGCGUGCUUAACACAUGCAAGUCGAACGCUGAAGCUCAGCUUUUGUUGGGUGGAUGAGUGGCGAACGGGUGAGUAACACGUGAGUAACCUGCCUCCUUCUUUGGGAUAACGCCCGGAAACGGGUGCUAAUACUGGAUAUUCACUGGUCUUCGCAUGGGGGUUGGUGGAAAGGGUUUUUCUGGUGGGGGAUGGGCUCGCGGCCUAUCAGCUUGUUGGUGGGGUGAUGGCCUACCAAGGCCUUGACGGGUAGCCGGCCUGAGAGGGUGACCGGUCACAUUGGGACUGAGAUACGGCCCAGACUCCUACGGGAGGCAGCAGUGGGGAAUAUUGCACAAUGGGCGCAAGCCUGAUGCAGCGACGCCGCGUGAGGGAUGGAGGCCUUCGGGUUGUGAACCUCUUUCGCUCAUGGUCAAGCCGCAACAAUGGUUGUGGUGAGGGUAGUGGGUAAAGAAGCGCCGGCUAACUACGUG